CGGGAUCUAGUUCCCUGACCAGGGAUCGAGUCCAGGCCACCUGCAUUGGGAGUGCGGAGCCUUAACCACUGCACCACGAGGGAAAUCCCCAAAAGCCCUCUAACUUGGCAGACUUUGCAAGUACAAGGCAGCUUCUGAAAUCUCUGUGAGCAAUUUCACCCCCUUCUGCUCCCUUCCACUAGAUUUCUUGGAGUUCCAGCCUACACUGAAGCUGUUCAGGAUUAAUUUCCAGCCGCUAUGAAAGCCAUGAACUCUGGGCUCUGUCUCCUGAAUUCAGUAUGACUGCUACCUUCCACUUAGGCUCUAUUCCCGGAAUUGGUAAGUACUGGAAAUUCCCCUUAGGAGAAAAGCUGGGUACAUAAUGGAGCUUGCCUAGCGUGUGUCCCUUUUUUUAAGGAUUAUAUUCUAUCCAGGUUUUGCACGCUUGGGUUGUUCUCCAUUGCUUUUGAAUAAUUUCCCUCAAGUUUUGUAACGGUUAUGUCAUCAGGAGGGUCACUCUGACAUAAAACUAUUUUGUCAGGGUGGGUCUGGCACACUUUCGUUUGGAUUUAAGUGUACAUUGCCCUCAGAAGAGUAAGA
Molecule: long non-coding RNA, 579 nt
Organism: Globicephala melas (long-finned pilot whale)
Lineage: Eukaryota; Metazoa; Chordata; Mammalia; Artiodactyla; Delphinidae
Source: RefSeq, a predicted model, not a curated record